GGGGGUGACAUGGCUUCGACGGCGAUGUUGAAACCUGACGUGCAUGCCGAGGUGCAGUGGCCCUCGUUAAUCUCUACUGCAAACAAGCUAGUUGCGAACGACGCUAACUACGCCCUCGCCGCUUAAUCCCGGUGAGCGGUUGCCUCGGUGGUGUUGAUGCCCCGUACGCAGCCGUCGACUCUCAUCAACUCGCGCAAACGUCCGCCCUUGGCGUAAGUGCUAAAACCCUAAGGGGAUAAGUGUUGGCGUUCCGUGCCUGUCCGGCAGCCCGCAUCGAAAACCAAUGAUUAGGCUACGCAUGUAGAGCGAAGGGCGGAGAAUCGUCGGACGCGGGUUCAAUUCCCGCCACCUCCACCA
This 357-nucleotide transfer-messenger RNA is filed under the name Nevskiaceae bacterium. RNAcentral's name for it is "Sinobacteraceae bacterium transfer-messenger RNA". It matches the Rfam family "transfer-messenger RNA". From Rfam's summary of the family: Bacterial tmRNA, also known as 10Sa RNA or SsrA, is named for its dual tRNA and mRNA-like properties. Its role is to liberate the mRNA from a stalled ribosome. The record is from RNAcentral. Lineage: Bacteria; Pseudomonadati; Pseudomonadota; Gammaproteobacteria; Nevskiales; Nevskiaceae. RNAcentral also lists the same sequence under 1 other name.